GAAAGAAAAAGAGAAGGUUGACGAGCAGUAAUUCGAGAAUUUCGGUUUGUAUUUCUAUAACGGAACUUAAUAAUUAUUUUGAUACAUUAUUAUUACUAUGUAUGAUUAUUGGAAUUGAGUGUUUGUGAAAUUAUGAUUUAUGUGAUAUUUGAGCAUUGGUAUUGAAUUUAAAUUGAAUUAGUAUUUAAUCCGAAUUUAAUUAUUAAUUGUUUUAAUUUGGUUUAUAUGCUAUGGUAAAUAAUUAAGGUAAGUAUUAGUAAUUGUUAUUGAAUUGAAUUUAUAUGGAUACAUGUGAUUAAUUGAAAUGUGUAUUGGUUGAAAAAUUAAAAGUGAAUUGAACACCCUAUUAACAGUAUCGGGCUAAGUCGGAUAUAGUUGGCAUGCCAUAGGAUUGGAAGCGUUCAGGGAUACUUCGGCCUUGAGUCGAUGAGGCACUAUAAGUGUUUUACUGUUAUUGUUACUUCAAUUUAAUCCGAUGAGGUACUGAGUAUCGUACUGUUACUGUUUACUUCGGUAAAGCCGAUGGGGCACUAAGUGCUGUACUGGUGUGUUGGUUGGAUCCGUGUAUCCGUCAUUGUCCGAGUCAUGUUAAUAGGGGUAACCAAUUGCACUAAACGACUGAAUAUUUCUGAAUGGUUUAUUAUUACUGACGAACUGAUUGUAUUGAAUAUCAUUGAUUGGUUGAUGGCUACUAAAAUAUAUUGACUGAUACUGAGUUUGGAUUAGAAUGGUAUAUAAAUUGAAAAGUGAAUGAUUGAAUAUUUAUUAUUUUGAAAAGUUUGAAUAUAUAUAUAUUUACAUAUGUUUUGUAUUCAUUAAGUGUUCAGUUAAAGAAAUACCACUGAGUGCAUACUCAGCGUACGAUUUGUUUUUGUGCACAGGUUAGGUAAAAGACAAAGCAUUGAAUUAGCAUCCAAAGCUGAUCCCAAUCUCAAGACUUGGUGAUGUAUGUUUCAUUUUGGUAAUGGCAUGUACCUAGGAUGUCAAAUUUUGUUAUUUUGGAAAAUGUUUUUAAAUAGUGUUUUAAAAUGAUACAAACUAUAUAUAUUACUGAAAAUAUGAAUGGCAUGUUUAAGUUUAAGAACAUGAGUAUGAAAUAGGUAGUUUUGGAGUAAUAAUGCUAUAAAUAUAGAAAUUGGUUUGAAUAAUGAUUUGUUUUGGGUUGGUCUCGAUUUGAAACUUGCAGGGAAGGUUAGAUAUUUAUAAAGAGGUUAUAUUGAGUUUAAAAAAAAAUACCCGAACAAGUCCCGAUUCGAUUCUAACGCGUGAUUUGGACCUCGAGGGUCCAUUAUAGGGACUUUAUGAUUAAAUCAAGAUAAGUAUGUCUUUUCUUUUGAAUUAAUUGUAAAUUGUCUGAUAUAUUCUGUAAUGCUUCGUAACCCUGUUCAGGUGACGGUCUAGGGUUAAGGGGUGUUACAUUUAGUGGUAUUAGACCUAUUCAGGUUUAGUCGAUUCUAAGAUUAAAUUGAGUAUAGAAUUGAGUCUAGAGGUAAAUGUCAUAAUUAAGUCAAAUUUGAGUAGGGAUUGGAUGCUGAUAUAUUGAUUGUUUCUGUUUUAUAGUUAAAGAUGUCUGAUGAACACAUUGAAGAUACUGAUCGAGAAAUGUAUAGUGAAGAUGAUGAAUCAUAUGAUACAAAUGAAUUAAAAUCUACAACACCAAGUGUAAAUGCUGUAGGUAAUCAACCACCAAAUGUUAGAAGGGGUAAAACCCGAGAAAGAGAUAAUUCAAAAAUACUUAGAGUGAUAGUUGAUGCUCUUCAAUGAGCAGUGGGAACUAUACCUACUAUGACCUCUACACCUACAGUCCAACGAGCCCUGAUUAAAGAAAUGCGUAAAUAUGGUGCUACCGAAUUUUUGGGUUCAAAGGGAGUUAAUCCGACUAUAGCUGAAAACUGGAUAGAGGCUAAAAAGAGGAUUCUGAAACAACUUGAAUGCACCCCUCAAGAAAGUUUAUUGUGUGCCGUAUCUUUGUUACAAGGAGAAGCAUGCAUAUGGUGGGAAUUAGUAACGCAACAUCUGUUAGAAGAACAGAUAAGCUAGGACUUCUUUUAGAGAGAAUUUCAGAAAAAGUAUAUGGGAGAGUUGUAUAUAGAAGAUAAGAAACAAGAGUUUUUAAUGCCAAAAUAGGGUGAGAUGUUCGUAGUGGAUUAUGAACGGGAAUUCUUGAGACUUAGCAGAUAUGCAACUGAAUUUGUAUUAGCUAAAGCUGAUAAAUGUAGACGAUUUCUAUGAGGAUUGCACGAUGAAUUACAACUACAAUUGGUGUCUCUCCGAAUUACUGAAUUUGCAGAUUUAAUUAAGAGAGCCAAAAUGGUUGAACAAGUGUUGGGAUUGGAUAAAAAGCCUAAAAUUUUUUGUUCACUUGGGAAACGUCCCGGAACUACAAGUUCUAAUCCACAACCCAAUAGAUCAAAAGAAUCUCGAGGUAGUUGGAGUUUGGUUCUAUAUUAAAUAAAAGUGAUAGAAACUGUAAUAUUGAAAUUCUGGAAUGUCAACAUUGUGGAAAUAAACAUCGGGGAGAGUGUUGGAACUUAACUGGAGGUUGUUUCUGUUGUGGAUCCACCGAUCAUUUUGUAAAAGGCUGUCUAAGGAUUAAAAGUAUAGCACCGGAGGUAUCACAGAGAUCUGAAUCUGCUUCCAGAGGUCGAGGGUUAGGUCGAGGUGGUUCAGUUAGUACAGGUGGAGCUAGAAGAUCAAGUAAUGUUACUACUUAGCAAUCAGAGGCUAGAGCAUCAGCCCGAGCAUAUGUAGUAAGAACUUGUGAAAAAGAUGAUGCAUACAAUGUAGUGAUAGGUAUAUUUUUAUUGCACUUAGAACCUGUUUAUGCUUUAAUAGAUCCAGGAUUAUCACAUUCAUAUGUUAAUACAAAACUGGUUGAGUCGGAAAAUAUAAAACCUAAAAUGUCUAGAGUAAUUAUAGAGGUAUCUAGUCCUUUGGGGCAAACUAUGUUAGUGAAUCGAGUAUGUCGAAGAUAUCUGCUAAUGAUUCAGGAUAAAAUUUUUUCUAUUGAUUUGUUAAUUAUGCCAUUUGGUGAUUUCAAUAUUAUACUGGGUAUGGAUUGGUUAUCUGAGCAUGAGGUGAUUUUAGAUUGCUGCAAAAAGAAGUUCACUGUUCAGAAUGAGAGUGGUGAUCAGAUUGAGGUAAACGGUAUUCAGACUAGUGUGUCAGCCCGUAUUAUUUUGGCAAUUCAAGCUAAUAAACUUCUUCAUCAGGGAUGUACAGCUUUUUUGGUAUAUGUUAUUAAUUCGGAUGCAAUUGAAAGUCAAUGCAGUGAAAUCCGGACAGUUUGUGAAUUUUCUGAUUUUUUUUCUUGAAAAUUAUCGGGAUUACCACCUAACCGGGAGGUUGAGUUCGUAAUUGAAGUUUACCCGAGUACAUAUCUAGUGUCAAUACCUCCGUAUCAUAUGUCACCUACAGAGAUGAAAGAAUUAAAGGUACAGUUACAAGAUUUGUUGGAUCGUGGUUUUAUACAUCCGAGUACUUCACCUUGGGGAGCUCCAGUACUAUAUGUUAAAAAGAAAGAUGGUUCAAUACGAUUGUGUAUUAAUUAUAGGCAACUGAAUAAGAUAACAAUUAAGAAAAAAUAUAUGUUACCUCAUAUUGACGAUUUAUUUGAUCAGUUGAAAGGAGCUUCUGUGUUUUCGAAGAUUAAUUUAAGAUCGGGUUACUACCAGUUAAAAGUAAAAGAAAGUGGUGUACUGAAGACAAUAAUUCGUACGAUGUAUAGUCAUUAUGAAUUCUUAGUGAUGCCAUUUGGAUUAACAAAUGCCCCAGCUGCUUUUAUGGAUCUUAUAAAUCGAAUCUUUCAAUCGUAUUUGGAUCAGUUCGUGGUAGUUUUUAUUGAUGAUAUUUUAGUUUAUUCAAAGUCUGAAUCUAAACAUGAACAGCAUCUCCGAAUUGUUUUGCAAAUAUUACAGGAGAAGUAAUUGUAUGAGAAAUUAAGUAAAUGUGAAUUUUGGUUAUCAAAGGUUGUAUUUCUUCAUCACGUGGUAUCAACAGAUGGAAUUAAAGUUGAUCCAAAGAAGAUUGAAGCAAUUGUUCUGUGGAAAGCUCCUAAAAAUGUGUUAGACGUACGUAGUUUUCUAGGACUGGUUGGGUAUUAUCGAAGGUUCAUGAAUGGAUUUUCAAAUAUAGCCUUACCAAUGACAAAGUUAUUGCAAAAAAAUGUUUCAUUUGUUUGGGAUGAUCAGUACCAAGAAAGCUUUAAGAAAUUGAAGCAGAUGAGGCACAUGUUCUAACUUUACCAAAAUCAGGAAAAGAUUUUGUUAUAUAUAGUGAUGCUUCCUUAAAUGGACUUGGGUGUGUUCUGAUACAAAAUGGGAAGGUAAUAGCUUAUGCUUUUUGGCAAUUGAAACCACAUGAAUGUAACUAUCUGACACAAGAUCUGGAACUAGCAGCUGUGAUCUUUGCUUUGAAGAUAUGGAGACACUAUCUGUAUGGUUAAAAAUGCUACAUGUACACUGAUCAUAAAAGUCUCAAGUAUCUUUUAUUGCAGAAGGAAUUAAAAUUUGAGACAUCGUUGGUGGAUAGAACUUCUGAAAGAUUAUGACUGUGUUAUUAAUUAUUAUCUAGGGAAGGCAAAUGUUAUGGCUGAUACAUUAAGCAGGAAAGCAACGAGUGAAUUACGAGCAAUGUUUGCACAUUUCAGUAUUAAUGACGAUGGAAGUCUAUUGGUUGAAUUGAGAGUUAAAUCAGUGAUGUUUGAUCAAAUUAAGUUAGCACAGUUGGAAGAUAGUAAGUUGAUUAAGAAAAGAGAGAUGGUUUAGAAUGGUAUGAUAGAAAAUUUUAGCAUUGAUGAGCAUGAUUGUCUGAGAUUUCGUAAUCGAAUUUGUGUUCCAGCUAUUUUAGACCUGAAGGAGUCGAUACUUCGUGAGGCACAUGACAGUCCUUUUUCAAUACAUCCAGGAGGAACAAAAAUGUACCGUAAUCUACGAGAGUCUUAUUGGUGGCUAGGUAUGAAGAAAGAUAUAGUGGAAUAUGUGGCUAAAUGUUUAACUUGUCAACGAGUUAAAGCUGAACAUCAAGGUCCGAUAGGACUACUUCAGCCUAUUAAUAUUCCUGAAUGGAAAUGGGAUUGUAUUACGAUGGAUUUUGUAACAGGGUUGCCAUUGUCAACAAGUAAGAAAAAUGCAAUUUUGGUUAUUGUUGAUCGACUUACUAAAUCGGCUCAUUUUAUAGCUGUUAGAAUUGAUUGGUUACUUCAGAAACUUGCGAAAACAUACAUCCGGGAUAUCGUGAGAUUGCAUGGUAUUCCAGUAUCAAUAAUUUCUAAUCGGGAUCCACGGUUUACAUGGAGGUUUUGGAGACAAUUGCAUUAGUAUCUUGGUACUCAGCUCAAUUUUAGUACAACUUUUCAUCCACAAACUGAUGGGCAAUUUGAACGGCUUAUUCAGAUUUUAGAAGACAUGCUUCGUGCUUGUAUCAUUGACUUUGAAUCUAGUUGGGAACGUUAUUUACCAUUGGCCAAGUUUGUUUAUAAUAAUAGUUUGCAAUCUCGUAUUCAGAUGGCUCAUUAUGAAGCUUUAUAUGGUCAAAGGUGUCGAUCGCCUGUAUGUUGGGCAGAAAUGAAUGAAAGAAAAAUGAUUGGACCGAAAUUAAUCUAAGAAACAGAAGAUACUGUUAAAAAGAUUCGAGAAAGACUAAAAGCAUCUUUCGACCGAUAAAAAUCAUAUGCAGAUUUAAAACGUCAAGAUAUUGAAUAUUCUGUCAGUGAUAAGGCAUUCCUUAAAGUUUCACCUUGGAAGAAAAUUUUAAGAUUUGGACGAAAAGGAAAGCUAAGUCAUCGUUUUAUUAGGCUGUAUAAGAUUGUGGAAAGAGUUGGAUCAGUUGCUUAUCGAUUAGCUUUGUCUCCAGAUUUACAGAAGAUUCACGAUGUUUUUCAAGUUUCUAUGUUGAGAAGAUACGGACCUGAUCCCUCUCAUGUGAUUUCGAUAGAAGAUAUUGAUGUCGAAACCAUUUUUUUAUUUGAAAAAUGGGGAUCGACUUUAUAAAUGAAACAUGAAGUCACCACCAACCUUUAUUCAAGAUGUGAUUGGGUCACCUUAAGAUUAGUCAUGUAAAUAAAGCAUUUUGAUUUAUUAAAACAAUGACUUUGGUCUACGAAAUUUGAAAAAACAGGUUCGGGAGUCGAUUACGUACGAGGAAGGAUUAGCACCCUCGUUACGCCCAGAAUUAGUUCCUAAUUGAUUAAAUAGUGUCUUUAUGUCUAAAAUUUAAAAAGAUUUUGAAAUACGGUUUCUUUUAAAACAUUUGAAUAACUCGAAUUGGAUGUUAAAAUUUUCUUGUUUCGAAGGAAUAAAAUAUCACAUCCAGCACGUUAGGACAUGAUCUUUUAAACCCUAGAAACCACGAUCCAUUCUUGAUCUCCAAGAGCGCAUACAUUUGAAAAUUACAAAAAGAUAUUCGAUUAUUUGGUCCAGCGAAAAACUGAAACCCAAUACGUUAGGACACGAUUUCUCGAAUUCCAAACAUAGAACAUUGCCUUGUUUUGAAGUUUAGAAACACGAUCGAGAUUUUAAAGGAUAUUUGAUUAUUUAAACAAACGAAAAAUCGAAAUCCAGCACGUUAAGGCACGAGUUCCCGAAUUUCCAAACGUCAAACAUUGCCUUUGCUUUGGGAAAUUUUCAAAUAAAAAAUUAUAAAACCUGCCCAAAAUGCAUUUGUUGAUUUACUUGAAAUGAAAAAUGAGAUGACCAAUAUCAAUAAAAAUAUUGAAAUUUGAAUCACGAUGCAAUAAUGUAGAAAAAUCAAAGUUACAAACAUGGAACAAUAUCAUAGAUGAAAUAUUAUACAAAUGAAAAAAAAGAAGAAAUUAACAUAUACACAAUAGCAAUGAGCUCACAUCCAAAAAACAUAUUAGAAUAGAAUAUAACAAGUUUCGAACAUAGAUGAACAAAAAUUGAAAUAAUAAUACAAAAGACUAAUAAAUGAUAUGAAACAAUAAUACGUGAAAUAAUAUGAAAACUAAAAAAUAACACAUAAAAUACAAAACAAUAUGGAAAUUAGGAGUCAAUAUGAUAUAAAACAAUUUGAAAACUAUUGAAUAUAUGAAAAUUUACAAAUGAACAACACAUGAUAAAAGAAGAACAAACUAAUAAUAUAUAAAUGAUUAUUUAAAUAAAUAUUAUGAAAGAAGAAAUUUGGAGCAAAUAAUGUACGAAAUAUUUUAAAACAAAACAUGUCUACUUGAAGUUGAUAAUGUACAUAUAAUAAUAAUAAAACAUAAAUAUUAUAUAAUGGGGUAAUAGUACAUGAAAGAAUUUUAAAUAACAAAAAUAUGAUAAAAUAUGUUUUUGAAGAAUAAACUAUAUACAUAAUAGAUUUGAAAGGAAAUAUAUAUAAAUAAAUUUAAAAGAAAUUUUAUAUAAAAAAUAACAACGGAUUAAUAAUGUAUAUAGAAUGAAUAAUGGAUUUAAAAGGAAAUACUAAAGAAAUUAUAUAUAUAAAAUAACAUGGGAUUAAUAAUGUAUAUAGAAUAAAACUUAAUUGUAUCAUAAACUAUAUAUGUAUAAUAAUAUAUAAGGGUAUUUAAAUGAAAUAUUACACAAAAUUUUAAAACAAUAUGAUAUAUAAGAAUGUUUUAAAAUAAUAAUGAUAUAACUUAAAAAAAUUAAAAAAAACAAAUACAAGUAAAAUACUAAAUUUAAAUGAGAUAAAAAAUUAUUAAAGUAAUUCAAAAUAUAUAUUUAAAUAAUUUUUAAAAUAAAUGAAUACUAAGUAAAAUAAAAAAAUAAAAGAAUUACAUAUUGAAAUGAAAGAAAGACUCAAUUGAAAUAAAAUCAAAUUUAAUGGGAUAAUUAAUAAAUAAAAUAAAACAUUGAAUUAGAAUUAAGGACUAAAGCGCAAUGCACGCAAAUAUACGAGGAUUGAAAGAGUGAAUGAUCCAAAUCCCCAAAAGGUAGCGCUCGGGCGCGGACUAAAUUGAAAUAAUGCACAAAGUCCAGGGAAAAAUCAAAGAUACAAAAGAACCAUAAAUAGGACUCAAUCAAAUGACAGCGAAACAAGAAGGGACUAGAUGCGCAAUUCGCCCACUCAAGACAAAAACGCAUGGACCCUCUUUGCUGAUCGAGUCGACGCGCGGACCUAGCCUCAAACAAAACGGCGUCGUUCCUUACUCUUUACAAAACAAAAUUAAGAAACCCUAAAACUAAACAUUCAAUUACUUUAACAAAAUCAAAAUAAUAAAAAAAACCUAAAAUCUCUCCUUAUUCAUUCGGCUGAACCAAAAGGCACCGCUCAACAGCCAUUUUGCCUCCAUAUUCGGCAAACGGCAUCACACGAGGGCUUAAUCUGGCCUUAUUUGACGACAAAAUCAAGAUUUUUGCUAUGCUUAACCUCAACCCUCAUCUAAACUUCGAUUAUCACGAAGUAAACAAGGAUUCGAAGCCCUUAAAAAGAUAAGUAUCUACAUUCCUAUUUUUUUUUUUUUACAUGCAAUAACAAAAAUCAAAGAGAAAUAGAAGUAGAAUCAAAAGAAAAAAUAAAAUCUAAAAUCACCUUUUGAAAACUUUUUCCUGUUUUCAAACUUUUUGUAUUGAUUUUCAUCCCCUUUUUACAGAUUACAUUCCAUUCGGUUUUAUAGCUGAAAAAAUAAAUAAAAAAUACAAAUUUCAUUGUUGUCAUUUUGUUGUUAUUUGCUGCUUGCUCUUUUUGUUUGUUAGUCUGUUGCAGGCAUGUAUGGGGUUUGGCAGUUCAUGGGAAACCACUCGUGAAAGCCUGAUUCUUUGGCUGGCUGUGGUGCUAGCAUGUUCCAGAAACCUCUAGGGUUUUUGGUAUUCUUAAAUUGUUGGGCCCCUUUGGGCCAUUUUGGGCUUGUUUUAGUAGUGGGCUAUUGAAAGUUAGGCUAGGGAUUAAGUUGGGGGUUUUGGGUGUAAUGGGAUUUUGGGUUAUGGUUUAGGUCAAUAAAUUUAAGUUUUAUUUUGGGUUUCAAUUUGGGUCUCGGGUUUGGACCUUAUUGUAAAGUGGGUUUAUAAAUUGGGCUACCAGUGUAAAUGUAAAUGGAUUGGACUGUUUUAUGAUUUUUUUAUGAUUUUAUUUUAUUUUUUGUUUUGGUUUUUUACAUUUGGUUUAUAAGUCUAAAGGCACGGGCAAAAUGGGCCUUCUACAAUUGAAAUUCGACCCGAUUUGACAUACGAAGAGAAACCGGUUAGAAUAUUAGCUCGAGAGGUGAAAGAAUUGCGUAAUAAAUGAGUUCCUUUAGUGAAAGUGUUGUGGCGAAGUCAUAGUGUUGAAGAAGCAACAUGGGAACCGGAAGAGACUAUGAGAUCACAAUAUCCCCACCUCUUUUCAGGUAAAUUUCGUCGAGGACGAAAUUUAUUAAGGGGGAGAAAUGUAACAACUCGAAAUUUAAAGGUAUCGGAAAAGUAUAUUUUUGGAUCUCCGUUUUUGAAAAGCAAUUUCUUCAAUAUUUAUUAACAAUAUUUACGAAGCUAGUUGUGUUUUUAAUUAAGUUUUAAAUAGGUGAAUUUGACUUAAUUAGGAGUAAUUAAUAAAAAAGACUAAAUUGAAUAAAGGGUAAAAGUUGAAUUAUAUAUUAAAAUAAAAUAAAAGGACUAAAAGUGCAAUUAUACCAAAAGUAUAAAUUGAGGCGGUUUAUCGUGAGGAAAAUCUAAGAUUUUUAUGUUUAGUAUAUUAUUAUAUAAUAAAGAUAUUUGAUGUUUUAAUUAUAAUAUAUUAUUUUAUUUUAUUUUAUAUAUAUAAACUAAAGAAAAAAAAGAAAGGAAAUAGAAACAGAAUAGUGAACAAAAUAGAAAAAAAAGAAGAAAUUUAGGGUUUUUAAGGUUCAAUUUCAAAUUGGUAAGUCAAAUUAAGUCAUUUUCUUAUAAUUUUUGAGUUUUUAGAAACCUAGAACAAAAUAUGUCAUGGUUUAUGUUGAAAUUUUGUUAGUUGAUAGAUUUUUAAACAUGAGUUAUGUUGAAUUAAUUGAUGAAUUAGGGGUUAAUUAAUUGAAUUUCAAGUUAGAAGUUAGUAAAGGAUUAAAUUGUAAAAUAAAGUGUAAGUUUUUGAAUAGUAGGGACUGAAUUGAAAGAAUUUAAAAAUUAGGGAUUUAUGGCAACAUUGAAGAGUUAAAAUGAGUUUAUAGAAGAAAUUUAAUGAGAAUAUGGAAUAGUUUUAGUAAAAUAAAAAUUAGAAUUGAUUAUGGGAUUAAAUUGGAACUUAGAUAAAAUUUAUGUAUAAAAGGAAAUAUUAGAUGGAAUUAUGUGAUUGAUGAUUUUUAAUUGUUUAAUUACAUAGCUAAUAUCGUACCAGAGACUUCGACAAAGAAAGGAAAAGAGAAGAUUGAAGAGCAGUGAUUCGAGAAUUUCAAUUUGUAUUUCUAUAACCGAACUCAAUAAUUAAUUUGAUACAUUAUUAUUACUAUGUAUGAUUAUUGGAAUUGAGUGUUUGGGAAAUUAUGAUUUAUGUGAUAUUUGAGCAUUGGUAUUGAAUUUAAAUUGAAUUGGUAUUUAAUCAGAACUUAAUUAUUAAUUGUUAUAAUUAGGUUUAUAUGUUAUGGUAAGUAAUUAACGUAAGUAUUAGUAAUUGUUAUUGAAUUGAAUUUAUAUGGAUACAUGUGAUUAAUUGAAAUGUGUAUUGGUUGAAAAAUCAAAAGUGAAUUGAAUACCCUAUUAACAGUAUCGAGCUAAGUCGGAUAUAGUUGGCAUGCCAUAAGAUUGGAAGCGUUCAGGAAUACUUUGACCUUGAGUCGAUGAGGCAUUAUAAAUGGCGUACUAUUACUGUUACUUCAGUUUAAUCCGAUGAGGUACUGAGUACCUUACUGUUACUGUUUACUUCGGCAAAGUCGAUAAGGCACUAAGUGCUGUACUGGUGUGUUGGUUGGAUCCAUGUAUCCGUCAUUGUCCGAGUCAUGUUAAUAGGAAUAAUUAAUUGCACUAAAUGAUUGAAUAUUUUUGAAUGGUUUAUUGUUACUAACGAACUGAUUGUAUUGAAUACCAUUGAUUGGUUGAUGGCUACUAAAAUAUAUUGACUGAUAUUGAGUUUGGAUUAGAAUGGUAUAUAAAUUGAAAAGUGAAUGAUUGAAUAUUUAUUAUUUUGAAAAGUUUGAAUAUAUAUAUUUACAUAUGUUUUGUAUUCAUUAAGUGUUCGGUUAAAGAAAUACCACUGAGUGCAUACUCAGCAUACGGUUUGUUUCCAUGCUCAGGUUAGGUAAAAGACAAAUAGUUGAAUCAGCAUCCGAAGCUGAUCCCGAUCCCAAGACUUGGUGAUGUAUGUUUCAUUUGGUAAUGGCAUGUACCUAGGAUGUCAAAUUUUGUUAUUUUGGGAAAUGUUUGUAAAUGGUGUUUUAAAAUCAUACAAACUAUAUAUAUUCCUGAAAAUAUUAAUGGCAUGUUUAAGUUUAAGAACAUAUGAGUAUGAAAUAGGUAGUUUUGAAGUAAUAGUGCUAUAACUAUAGUAAUUGGUUUGAAUAAUGAUUUGUUUUGGAUUGGUCUCGAUUUGAAACUUGCAGGGAAUGUUAGAUAUUUAUAAAAGGGUUAUAUUGAGUUAAAAAAAAUACUCGAACAAGUCCCGAUUCGAUUCUAACGCGUGAUUUGGACCUUGAGGGUCCAUUAUAGGGACUUUAUGAUUGAAUCAAGAUAAGUAUGUCAUUUAUUUUGAAUUAAUUGUAAAUUGUUUGAUAUGUUCUGUAAUGCUUCAUAACCCUGUUCCGGUGACAGUCUAGGGUUAAAGGGUGUUACAAGUAUGCACCCACAAACUGAUGGGCAAACUGAAUGAGUGAAUGCAUUGUUGGAGACGUAUCUUAGGCACUAUGUGAGUGCGACACAAAAGGAUUGGCCAAAUUUGUUGGAUGUGGCUCAAUUCUCGUACAACUAACAACGAAGUGGGGCAACGAACAAGAGUCCAUUCGAGAUAAUGACGGGGCAACAGCCACUUACACCUAAUGCUAUUACAACUCGUUAUGCAGGACCGAAUCCAGCAGCUUAUUGAUUUGUAAGAGAUUGGCAAGAGCAAAAUGAUCUAGCUAGAGCUUGUUUACAUAAGGCAAGUAAGCGCAACAAGAAGUGGGCGGAUCAGAAUCGAAGGGAUGUGCAAUUUUAGGUUGGUGACCCAGUUCUUGCUAAACUACACCUACUUUUGCUACAUGAUGGUUUGCAUAAGGGACUUGUGCGACGAUAUGAGGGGCCAAUUCGAGUUGUGAAGAAGGUAGGCAAGGUGGCCUAUAAACUUGAGUUGCCGGAAAAGCUCAAAGUCCAUCCAGUAUUUCAUGUGAAUAUGCUUAAGCCAUUCCAUGAAGAUGGGGAAGACCCAAAUCGAAACAAGUCCGAACAAGCACCAAUGAGGGUAAAAGUCGCCUAUGAUCAAGAGGUUAAAAACAUCGAAGCAGAUCGUGUAGUCUGGCAGAAGCAUUAUCGACCGCAGCAUGAAUACCUGGUCCGAUGGAAGGGAUUUCCCGAUAGUAAGUCUAGUUGGGAACCCACUAAAGUCUUAUGGCAAUUCCAUGACGAGAUAGAUUGGUACCAUGCGGAAGACGCGACAAGGGCGUCGCUAGAUUCGGUGGGGGAUAAUGUCAUGAGUUGCGCAUGGGAGCCUGCAACCAUGACACAUUUGUGUGAUCCAUCAAGUGGGAAGGAGGUCAUUUGGCCCGAUCUGGCCCGUUGCUUGAAGAGUGAAGGUUCAUCUACAAGCUUGACACAUAUGGAAACAUAAUCUUCGAGGAUAUGCAAUCUUAGAUAUGAUAUGUAAUCUUAGAAUAUGGGAUUUUGUAAUCUUAGAGAUUUGAUUUGUAGAUAUCAUUUAAUCUUAGCCGUUGAUGUAUUUGAUCUGUACUGUCGGAUUUGGGGAGGCUAAACUAUAAAUAGAGGCCUCUCCCCUCAUUGUAAAUCAUUGAGUUUUUGAUCAAUAAGAAUUCUUGAGAGCAUUCACUCAAAUUUCUCUCUAUUGUGUUCUUAUUUUUCUGUGGCUUAUCCUUGUUUCGUUCUUCAUUCAUCUUGUUUGGCUUCAAGUUGCUUUCGUUUGAGUUGGGUUUUUGUAGAGGAAUUCUGUUGAAUCCGCAUAUUGUGGGAGUUAGGCUGACUUAGGUGUUUUUGGAGCAAGAAACUACCUAAGGCCGCAUGGAUUGUGAGGCAAAAAUCCUAAGUCCGUGACACUAGGUUUAUAAAGAAGAGUGAAAUUUUUUUUACACCCCUUUCAUCCACUAUUUUAUUUUCUUUCUCACCCCCAACAAAAAAUGAAAACUACAAUAAAGAUAAACUAAUCAAUACCUAUAAAUAUUUUAAUCUAUGCAGGAAAAUUCUAAAAAAAAUAAGUCAGACCUAGAACCCUAAUCAAAAACCCCUAACCUUGCAUCGCCAUCAAAAUCAAGACACUGAUUAGGGCCACCACCUACAUACAUUUUAUGAAGGCUAAAUAUAAAUUCAUGAUUUCAUCAUAAAAUAAGGGAACGCAUUUCGUUUUUAGUAGAACAAUAAGUUUGAUCUUCUUUGUCAUAAUUCAGAGAAGUGUCGGUUUGUUCAAAAUUUCAUUAUCACUUUGGACUUCAUCACUGGUUUUGUUAUCCGAAAAGCAAAGUUAGUUCUCUGAUUCCUCUACUGUUACUUGACUUAGAUGGCUGAUAAAGUUUUGCUGAUAAUUUUCAUUCACAUUCUAAAAUAUUUCCCAGCCAGUAAAUCUCAUUUGUGCAAUUAUAAACUAGAUUCGGGUUCCUCCCGAGGCUACCAAAAGAGGACAAGUUAUACUCCGGGAGAGAAAGAAUCCUUCCUAAGGAUUUAGAAAUCUUUUGGCAUGAAAUAUACACAUUUUCAUCCCCAUUUAUUAUCAUCUCGGAUAGAUGUAUCUUCGCCUCGAUAUAUAAUGUUGGGAAAAGUCAAUAGUCUCAGAUUUUGUGCCUAAUUUGGAGCCUUUUUAGCUUGCUUGGCUUUUCUCCUUUUUUGACACCGAAAGAUGGUCUCGUGAUUCAUUCGAUAAAGAAGUGAUAUUUAGUUGGAGAACUCAUCCCAAUAUAUUCCUUAACUCCUCUAUUGUUCCCUAAGGUUUGUCGCUCACUCAAUAAUCUUCCAAAUAUACCAUCGGUGGGGUUUCUUUGUUGCUUCCUUCCUAUGACAUGUUUCCACUUUCUUUUUAUUUCAAAAAGAAAAUAGUGGGAACCACCUUUAUAAAGUAUAGAGACUAGUUUUAAUAAAUAAAAAAUAUAGAAAAACUAUGUUAAAGGAAAUGAAAUGAAGGAAACAAAAGGAGAAGAAGAAGAGAAUGAAAAAUAAAAAAAAUAAAAAGAAAGCUAAAAGAUAAAAAAAAUUAAAUUACUCAAAACGAAAAAAUAUGAGGACCAAUUAUAGAAUUUAACAUAAAAAAAUUUAUUUGAAAUGAUGAUUUAACGUGCCAUGUCAGUUUAUUGUUACACUGUUAACGGUAACUAAUGGCUCAAUGACUAAAAUGUUACAAGAUGAUAACGUAAGUGACUAAAACGUAACAUUUCAAACAUAAGUGUCUAAAAUGUAACUUGAAGUAAAUAAAAGUGACUAUUUUGGUAGUUUACCUAAAAAUAAUAAGUACCAAGUUGAGAGUCAAAUUCAAGGGUCAAAUGAGUAUUCAAGCCAUUGAACCAACAAAAAAAUCAAUUGAACCGAUUUUUUUUUGUUUUUUAAAAAAAUUAUAAAUUUUUUAAUAAUUUAUUUAAUCAAACUGAAAAUUUUGAUCAAAUUGGAAACUGGUGGCCUAAUGAGUUUGACCAUUAAUUUGGUUUUGAAGAAAGAAGAAAAUAAAAAUUAAAAAGAAUAUAUAAAAAAGAAAAUAAUAUUUUUUGACAUUUUUCACAUGUCAAUUUUUAAUUGGUUAUCUUUUUUUAAAAAUAGAUUUAAUUAUUUAACUAACGAUUGAACUAAUAGGAACUCUCGUGAUUGGCUUGGUGGUAAAGGGUUGUUCACCCAUAGAACCCACUCGGAUUCAAACUUUUAGGAGAACAAGUGGUAAGUCUUUAUUUGGACAGCUCCCUUUGAGCGUAAUUAGUGCGUGUGUGGUGUGAGUAACCAUUUAAUUGUAUCAAUAUAAUUUAGAUACCAAUUUAUAGGUUAAGCUGAUUUUUUUAAACAAUAAAUAUUAAUUUUGUUGAUAUUUGAAAGAUAUAAAGAUUAAUUUUAUGAAUUAUAUGUAAAAAAGAAUAUAUGAUUAAUCAUGAAAUGGGAUGAAUUAUGAAUGUUUUAAAUUAAGGUGGUGGUGGGGAAUGUGGUAUUACAAACCCAACUGUAUUAUUCUCAAUUCAUCCUUCCAUAAGGCACUUUGGAAAAGAAAGAUUCAAUUCAGACUUGGGGUUGGGCCCCAUACAGACAGCCAUGCUCACAAAUUAUUUUUCAUUAUUUCAAAUACUAUCUUCAAAAUAAUUUAACAAUUCUAUAAAAAGAGAAUACUUUUUUUUUUAUAUAAUAUAUAUAACAUUAGAUUAUAGCAAAUUUGGUAAAAUCUAUAUUUAUCUUUUAAAUUAAUAUUAUUUUUUUAAAGAUUAUAUCACAAAUAGAAUAAAAUUACUCAUGACAACAAACUAAACAUUUAUAAAUAUAUUAGAAAUUAUAUCACACGCGUAUAUAUGAGGAAACUAUGUAUUUAGAACAUAGAUAUUAGCUUAAGUAUAACAUAUAAUAUAUAAUAAAACAUAAGGUUUAAAACUGAUUAAUAAUAACAUAUGAAAUAUGUACGAUAUUAAAAAGGUGAAAGUAUCUUCAAAUAAUAUAACUUAUUUUAAUUACGGAAGGAUAUUUUCGUGAUUUCCCUAAUCGAGUUGUGCCUGGAUAACUCGUGACACUAGCUAUACAAUUAAUAGAGAUAAUAAAUUGUGCAUAUUAAAAUAAGAAUAUAUAUAUAAAAAAUUAAAAUAAAAACUUUGGUUGGGUGAUAAAUUUAAGGUUUUAUUAAUUUAAUCAUCAUGGGUCCAAAUCCCACUAUAUGAAUAUUUUAUAGGCUUUGUUAAAAUAAAAGACUAAAGUAUCAUCAAAUAAUAUAAUUUAGUUUAAUUAUGGAAUGAUAUUUUCGUAAUUUUCUUAAUCGAAUUAAUGCUUAAUUGACUCAUGACACCAACUCAAUUAAUAACUUAAAUAAUAGGAUAAAUGAUACAAUCCAGAAGUUUACCAAAAAUGCUUCAAAUUUAAAAGUUAUCAAAGAUGAUACAAAUUAUUAAAGUUGAGCUCAUCAUAAAAAUGUAUUUUCUUUGGAUUUAAUUUAAAAAGGUUAAAAAAAAUAUUUUAAAUUAAUAUUUAUUAUUUUAUUAAAUUAGAAUCUAGAUAUAAGUAACAUCAAUUCAAUUCAAUCAAAAUUAGGAUAGAUUAUAACACAUAUAACAUGAAUAUGCAAGUUGUUUUACUUUUUGAAAGUUGAAUGUAGGAAUGGAUAGGUAGAAGGGGUUUGUAAAAAUAAAAUUUAUUGCAUCUGAAUUAGGGGUCGAGCUUGAUACAAAACUUGAUUCUUGAAUGCAUCAAAUUAUGUUUAAAAUUUUUCAAAUGAAUGAAUGUCUAUUUUAAUUCAAAUCAAUUCCAUGGUUUAAAUAAGGAGACGGAUGGAAUUGAUGGAAAGAUGCCAAACCCCGCCCCCAUAAAUGAUUCACUAUUCACACGUAACUCUCUCGCCCUCCACGCUUUCGUCUUCUUCCAUCCUUACUCUCAUCCUAAAAUCGUUUCCAUAAUUACAAUCUAUACAUAUUUUGAAUCAAUUACAUUAAAGUUUUAAUUGUGAAGCCUGAAAAUUUCAUCAAAAUUUGAGUUUUCUUAAUAAUGCAAGCGAAUUUCAUUAAGAUUUUAUAAUUAAUAUUGAGUAAAUGAUAAAACAGAAUCUGUACUUUCCAGGUUGAUUAGAUCCAUGUAAAAGCAUGCAUCAAAUUCAGAAAAUGAAUCCUUGGAUCUCUGAUGACAAAACCAAAAAAAAAAAAAAGAGGAUAAUAAAUGAUUAAUGCACAAAAAAGAAAGACAUUAUUUACACAAACUUUAGAAACAAAGAGUUUUCACAAUAACAAAACAGUUCCUUUUUCCACAUUACACACAGUUCCAUCCCAGAUUCAUUUUUAAUCAAAAUAAAAAACCACAAUCCCAAUUAACUAAUAAAAAAUAUAUAUAUAAAUAAAAAUAAAUCCCCAAAGAUUCUAAAUUUAUAAAAAUAAUUUUUCCAAUAAAGAAGAAAACAAAAUCCAACCCCAUUGAUCAUUUCAAAGCUUCAAUCAGAAUAAGGCUUGGUCUUGGACCGGUAAAGGAGUUUCUUCUUCUUUGAUGUUUGAUUAUCAAUGGUGAGAACAACCUUUCCAGGCUCACCGGUCUUGAAGCUAUCGGAGAUCACGGUUUCAUCGGCCAAAGAAACUUUCCUUGUUUUCGAUACGAUCACGGUAUACCCAUCUUCGGCGGUCGGCACGAAUUCGGCUCCGUAAUUGACUUCCCAUCCCACUACUCGGAGUUCCCAAACCAGAUUACAAUUCUGCUAAUUCAAAUACCAUAUAUUGUUAUUACAUGAAUGGCAUACUGAAUUGACAAUUUUAGUAAAAUGAUACAAAUGAUACCUCAGUUAUAAGGAAUUCAACACUGUGCUUCGCUGCUGGCUUGAUUGUAACCUCUGUGACGGCAUCGGCCACGCUAAAUUCUUGUUCACCUUCUCUGCUCAGUCCACCAUAUUGAACUGGUACUUGCUCCGGAGCAAUAUAUCUAAUAUUUACCCCAAAAAAAUUUUGAAGUUAUAUGAAACACUAUGCACAAACUAAUUAUCUAUUUAUGAUUAAAGAUCCAUUCAUAUUAAUCAAACAUAUUGCAAUAAACGGCAAAUUAAUGUCUAGAGUAAUAAAUAUAAACACUUGUUCAAGGGCCCUUUUUAUGGUCAUAGAUGAAAUGAUACCAAUGUUCAUAAAUAGAUUCCUAUAUGAGAAGGUCUUGGAUUACCAUUUGAUGAAACAAGCAAAAUUAAAAGGAGGAAAUGAAUGAAAUCCACUUACUUGAAGAGGGUCUCAGCAGAUUUGGCUGGACUUGCAAAUACGAACUUGCUCUUGGUUCUCUGAGUCAGGAAAGGACUGAUCAUCCUAUUGAAAGCCAAGUACCACCAUGGAACGUUGAUGAACACCUUCAAAAAUCCAGCACCAACAUCUAUAUCAGUUCAAACUUUAACAAACAAACAGAAAUGAUCUGACAAAGUUAAAAAAUCAUACUUGUUUGGCCACAAAUUCGGGAUAGUUAUCUUGAAGCAAGUUAAGGGCUUGGUUGGUAGCUUGUCUGAGUUCCUUUUUACCAGGUCCAGGUGAAUUCUUGAGGUCGUUCACUUGAACCAUGGUAUUGAUACCAGUAGGAUUGAAGUCGAGUUUUCGGAUGCUCUUUUCCAGGAACUGAAUCCUCCAUCUCAAGAACUUGGAUCGUUUUUCUUCAUCAGCGAAAGUGUUUUGAUACAGCUCUUUGUUUUGGAAUUCUCCAUAGACGUUGUAACAGACGGGAUGACCUUCUUUAUCGAACCCCUGCAUAAAAACAACCUUUUCUAGUUCGUUCCCUAGAUCUUCAUCGAGCAAGGUUUCGAUUCCGAAUUCUUUUCGCCAGCUGACAGUGUUUUUGAUCAUAGUGAAUGCGUCCUUCACCUUGAAAUCUCUUGCCCUCAAGAAUUUCAACAAGAUCACGUCGCUUUUCUCUUCUGCGAGAAGUGGGAUCCCCCAUAUGGACACCUUCUCGGGUGGAGGUGGAGGAACUUGGGCUUCUUUGGUCUCUUCGGAUUGAGGAGCCACUUCGGCGGGGGGCUCCUCCUUUUCUUUCUCUGCCGGAGGAGCGGCAACAGCGACUACAGACUCCUCAAUCGCCUCCACCGUCUUGGCGCCAUCAUCGUCUACGGCUUUCGCUUUUUCAGCUACCUCUGUUUCCACUACAACCACUUCGGCCGCAGGAGCAUCGGCUGGUGGUGGUGGAGGAGGAGUAUUCUCUUCUUCCUUGACUUCAACAGCGGCGGGUGCAUCCGUUUCUACCUUGGGUUCUUCUGAAAUUGCAGCAGCAGGUGUCUCUUCCUCUUUUUCUUCUUUUUUCUCUUCCUUGUUUUCUUCUUCUUCUUUCUUUGGCUCAGGCUCAGGCUCAGCUACAGGUUUUUCUUCUGCUUUGGGUUUGGCAGUGAACUCGUGGUUGUUAAGGGCUUCUUGAAUAAGCUGCUUAAGCUCAUCAAGGGCCUUCUUUUGAGGCUCAGGAAGUUCACCAGCGAUAUUAGUUUCCUCUUUGAAAGAAACAGACUGGGUUAUCUUAGUUUCUUCCUUUUCUUCAACCUUGGGCUUCUCAACUUCAACAGCUUCUUCUUCAACAGCAACAACAGCCGGCUUCUCGGGCACCUCAGGUUCCGGCAGGGGAGCAGGUGCGGAGGGUUGUGGCUCUUUCUCAGUAACUUGAGGCUUCUCGACAACCACAGACACCUCCUGGGCGGGGGCAGCAGGUGCAGAUUCAGAGUCAAGAGUCUCCUGGGCCAUGGGUAAGUAAGAGAGGAAGAAUGAAAGUUGUAAGAAAGGGAGAAGAAUGAAGAGGGGGCUUAAAAAUGGAAGAAACAAGAGUGUGAGAGUGGAAUGACAGCUAGCUUAUCUUAUAGGAGUGAGUUAAGGAGUGGACCCCCGACAUUGUUCCUCUUCCAUUUCCAAACCGCUAUCUUUGCCACUUCUUAUGCGCUGCCAUUUUCCCUUUUUUUCACUAAUUUUCAUUUUUUUUUUCUGUUCAAUCUUGGCGUUACAUCUGCGCUUAUUUUGGUAAUCAAUCCCUACAUACGGUUAAGUUUCAAGUCCAAAUACAUUCAGCUCAAUAUUUUAAUUAAAAAAUUACUCUUGCGUAUAACAUUUUUUACUGUCAAUUACAAAUAGAUUUUUUUACUCAAAAAAAUCUACGUGUAGUGUGUCAGCCAAUAAUGGAAGAACAAAAAUACUAAUAAUAGAGGGGAUUUCUUGUCACACCUCUGGCAUACCUUUAUUUAUUUUCACUAUCCAUUUAAAAUUAUCAUUUUUAUUUAAAUUUAAAUAAGUUGAGGUGGAAAAUAAAAAUAAAAAAAUUUUGAGGUGACCCACUUAUGACACAAGGAGUUGUAAUUAUUUUGUUUAUAAAGUUGAAAGUUAUCAAGAUUUGAAUUUUAAACAUUGUGCUUAAUUUGUUGAAAUUAAUUCAAACUAAAACAGGAAAAAUGAGAGUGAAGCCACCUCAUCGUGAGGUAUGCAAUUUGCAAAUCUUACUUGGGAUUUAAAAUUCUAAUUACAAAGAUUAUUUCCUUUCACCCUUGCCUUUUCUACCAAAAAAAAAUAAUAUUAUAUUACCAAAUUUAAAAUUAUAUUCCUUAAGCACAUCACAAAUAUAUUUAUAUAUUUAUUUUUAGUUUAAAUUAAUAAAUCAUUUCUUGUUUGGUUAUAUUUUAACAUUUUUAUCUAAAUUAACAUCUAUGUCAAAAUUAAAUAAUAUUAAAAAUUAUUAACUCUUUAUAAAAUCAUAUUGCAUCCAAAUAUUUUUAUUUUAAAAAAUAAUAACUGAUUGUUAAUAUCUAGAAAACGAAUUUUAAAAAAGAUUUCAAAAAAAAAAAAGAAUGAUAAUUUUUUUUUAAUUUCUUAAAAAUAAAUUUAAAAUUAGAAACUUCAGAGUCCAAAAAUGAUCUCUUAUUUCCUAUUUUUAUAUUAUUUUAGGAUUAAUAAAUUUUUAUUUGAUUAUGGGAUCUGUUUUAGUGUAGAUAUAAAGAAGAUCGGAAGU
Molecule: long non-coding RNA, 20630 nt
Filed under: Gossypium barbadense (sea-island cotton)
Lineage: Eukaryota; Viridiplantae; Streptophyta; Magnoliopsida; Malvales; Malvaceae
Description: long non-coding RNA (GBAR_LNC004074)
Source: RNAcentral